RNAcentral lists this ribosomal RNA (773 nucleotides) under uncultured Neocallimastigales. RNAcentral describes it as "partial large subunit ribosomal RNA". It matches the Rfam family "Eukaryotic large subunit ribosomal RNA", at positions 24 to 627 of the family's 3401-position model. Lineage: Eukaryota; Fungi; Neocallimastigomycota; Neocallimastigomycetes; Neocallimastigales. The record is from RNAcentral.
UAUCUCUGUAGAGUCUGCAUAUCAAUAAGCGGAGGAAAAGAAACUAACUAGGAUUCCCUCAGUAACGGCGAGUGAAGCGGGAAGAGCUCAAAUUUGAAAUCUUCAAGGUUUACCUUGACGAAUUGUAGUUUAAAGAAGUGUUUUCUGUUGGAUGUUUUGGUAAAAGUUCUUUGGAAUAGGACAUCAUAGAGGGUGAGAAUCCCGUAUUUGACCAUUAUUUCCAGCUUUGUGAUACACUUUCAAAGAGUCGGAUUGUUUGGGAAUGCAGUCCAAAAUGGGUGGUAAAUUUCAUCUAAAGCUAAAUACUGGCGAGAGACCGAUAGCGAACAAGUACCGUGAGGGAAAGAUGAAAAGAACUUUGAAAGAGAGUUAAACAGUACGUGAAAUUGUCAAAAGGGAAGCGUUUGACACCAGUGUUGUUUUCUCGAAAAUCAAUUAAAAAAGGCAGGAUUUUGUGUUGUAUUGACUUUAUCAGCUUUCUGCACUCUUUUCUUGUCUUUUUUAAUGCACUUUUCGUUUAACAAGUCAACAUCAAUUUCUUUUGUUGUAAAAGAGUCAUUGGAAGGUGGCUUUCUUUUCGGAGAAAGUGUUUAUAGCCUUUGGCCUCUGCAAUCGGAGAGAUUGAGGUCUGCAGCGUAGAUCCUUCGGGGUUAGAUACAUUUGUGCUAAGUUAUAGCCUUUCAUAGACAACUUGUUGACUAUGAUCAGUCAUGUAGCUUACUCGCUUAUGCUAUUUUACCUACGCUUAGGAUGUUGACGAUCAGCUGAGCGCG